UACGGGGGGAGCAAGCGUUGUUCGGAUUUACUGGGCGUAAAGGGCGCGUAGGCGGCGCAACAAGUCACUUGUGAAAUCUCCGGGCUUAACUCGGAGCGGCCAAGUGAUACUGUCGUGCUAGAGUGCGGAAGGGGCUACUGGAAUUCUCGGUGUAGCGGUGAAAUGCGUAGAUAUCAAGAGGAACACCUGCGGCGAAGGCGGGUUGCUGGGCUGACACUGACGCUGAGGCGCGAAAGCUAGGGGAGCGAACGGG
RNAcentral lists this ribosomal RNA (253 nucleotides) under uncultured bacterium. RNAcentral's name for it is "partial 16S ribosomal RNA". It matches the Rfam family "Bacterial small subunit ribosomal RNA", at positions 524 to 776 of the family's 1533-position model. The record is from RNAcentral.